RNAcentral lists this ribosomal RNA (206 nucleotides) under uncultured bacterium. Its description in RNAcentral is "partial 16S ribosomal RNA". It matches the Rfam family "Bacterial small subunit ribosomal RNA", at positions 1287 to 1500 of the family's 1533-position model. The record is from RNAcentral.
CUCAGUUCGGAUCGGAGUCUGCAACCCGACUCCGUGAAGCUGGAUUCGCUAGUAAUCGCGCAUCAGCCAUGGCGCGGUGAAUACGUUCCCGGGCCUUGUACACACCGCCCGUCAAGCCAUGGGAGCCGGGGGUACCUGAAGUCCGUAACCGCGAGGAUCGGCCUAGGGUAAAACUGGUGACUGGGGCUAAGUCGUAACAAGGUAAC